Molecule: unclassified non-coding RNA, 791 nt
Filed under: Hevea brasiliensis (rubber tree)
Lineage: Eukaryota; Viridiplantae; Streptophyta; Magnoliopsida; Malpighiales; Euphorbiaceae
Source: RNAcentral
UUGGGUUUUUUUUUUUUUUGUAUAAAACUUUGAUUGGGUUAUAGACAUGACUUCCAUCUUGCUAACAAAACAACCUGGGUUACAAACUGUAUAUAUGUAUUCGACCUUCAUAUUACGUAGAAUGGAAUAUCAGUAUAUACUCAGUACUUGGAAAAAAAAAAUGCUAACAGUAAAAUGUGUUGUGGCCUUUGUUGUAUUUAGAUUUUCAAUAAAGAUGAGUGGAAAUAUCUAUGAUAUUAAUGAUGGUAGAAACUGGUCGGUUACUAAAUUGCAUGAUGUGAGCUGCAAAAACGUAUGAUAUGCAUCCAUCAUCUAUUUUAACGCUUGGGAAUGCUGUUUGAAGAAUUUCUUUAUUUAGAAAUAAUAUUGUAUUAUGAAACAUUACAGGGACAAAACAACAGAGUUAUGCAUAGAAUGGAUAUCUUAUGGUCACUGGUGCAGAUAUUGCAACCAAAAACUUCAAACUAGCAACAAAGGCCAGUCAGCUCUUGGAGAUUGUGGUGUUGCUCCACUGUAAAAUAGCUAGUAAUUUGUGAUCUUUGAAUGGCAUUUUUUUUAGUUGUGAUUCUUGUUUGUAUUCCCCUUUUCCUAAAAUAAAAGGAAAGGAGAAGAAAUGAAGGCCAGCAUUUAUGUGAAGGGCUUCUUUAUCUUGUACUUGGUAAUGCGUGUGAUAAGCAUCCAUUUUCCUCCCGGAUUUAAACCCAUCAUUUGUUUGAAAGUUAAAUUAUGAAAUAAUGUAGGAAGCCAUUGUUCAGUAUUACAUUAUCAGUAUCUUUCUUGGUUAAUUCCAU